RNAcentral lists this ribosomal RNA (1260 nucleotides) under metagenome. RNAcentral's name for it is "bacterial LSU rRNA". It matches the Rfam family "Bacterial large subunit ribosomal RNA", at positions 1674 to 2925 of the family's 2925-position model. The record is from RNAcentral.
UAGAAAUCUAAGGCGCUCGAGAGAACUCGCGUUAAGGAACUCGGCAAAAUGCACACGUAACUUCGGAAGAAGUGUGGCCCCUGUUUGGUUAAAGAGUGGGGGUGGCACAGAGCAGGCCCAGGCGACUGUUUAUCAAAAGCACAGCCAUCUGCGAAUCAGCAAUGAGACGUAUAGGUGGUGACACCUGCCCGGUGCUGGAAGGUUAAGAGGAGCGGUUCGAGGUGACUCAAAGCUGUGAAUCGAAGCCCCAGUAAACGGCGGCCGUAACUAUAACGGUCCUAAGGUAGCGAAAUUCCUUGUCGGGUAAGUUCCGACCCGCACGAAUGGUGUAACGAUUCUGGGCACUGUCUCAACGCGAGACUCGGUGAAAUUUAUAUACCGGUAAAGAAGCCGGUUACCCACAGUUAGACGGAAAGACCCCGUGAACCUUCACCGUAACUUAUUAUUGGAUCUUGGUGUAGCAUGUGUAGCAUAGGUGGGAGACUACGAGACGUGGCCGUUAGGUUGCGUGGAGUCGACCAGUGAAAUACCACCCUUGCUACAUCAGGUUUCUAACCUAAUCCGUGAAUCCGGGUUGGGGACAAUGAUAGGUGGGCGGUUUGACUGGGGCGGUCGCCUCCUAAAGAGUAACGGAGGUGCGCGAAGGUCUCCUCGCGCUGGUUGGAAAUCAGCGUACGAGUGUAAAGGCACAAGGAGGCUUGACUGCGAGACUGACAGGUCGAGCAGGUACGAAAGUAGGUCUUAGUGAUCUGGCGGUAGCGAGUGGAAGCGCCGUCACUUAACGGACAAAAGGUACUCCGGGGAUAACAGGCUGAUUUUCCCCAAGAGUUCACAUCGACGGGAAAGUUUGGCACCUCGAUGUCGGCUCAUCGCAUCCUGGGGCUGAAGCAGGUCCCAAGGGUUUGGCUGUUCGCCAAUUAAAGCGGUACGUGAGCUGGGUUCAGAACGUCGCGAGACAGUUCGGUCCCUAUCUGCUGUGGGCGUUGGAUGAUUGAGAGGAGCUGCAUUUAGUACGAGAGGACCGAUGUGGACAAACCUCUGGUGUACCUGUUGUUCUGCCAAGAGCAAGUGCAGGGUAGCUAAGUUCGGAAGGGAUAACCGCUGAAGGCAUCUAAGUGGGAAGCCCACCUCAAGAUAAAUCAUCCCUGGGGGUUCGACCCCCCUAAAGACUCCAGAGAGACUAUCUGGUUGAUAGGCUGCAGGUCUACGCACGGUAACGUGUUCAGCCGAGCAGUACUAAUAGGUCGUGAGGCUUGACCU